This 492-nucleotide ribosomal RNA is filed under the name uncultured bacterium. Its description in RNAcentral is "partial 16S ribosomal RNA". It matches the Rfam family "Bacterial small subunit ribosomal RNA", at positions 29 to 507 of the family's 1533-position model. The record is from RNAcentral.
AGCGAACGCUGGCGGUAGGCCUAACACAUGCAAGUCGAACGGCAGCACAGUAAGAGCUUGCUCUUACGGGUGGCGAGUGGCGGACGGGUGAGGAAUACAUCGGAAUCUACUUUUUCGUGGGGGAUAACGUAGGGAAACUUACGCUAAUACCGCAUACGACCUACGGGUGAAAGCAGGGGAUCUUCGGACCUUGCGCGAUUGAAUGAGCCGAUGUCGGAUUAGCUAGUUGGCGGGGUAAAGGCCCACCAAGGCGACGAUCCGUAGCUGGUCUGAGAGGAUGAUCAGCCACACUGGAACUGAGACACGGUCCAGACUCCUACGGGAGGCAGCAGUGGGGAAUAUUGGACAAUGGGCGCAAGCCUGAUCCAGCCAUACCACGUGGGUGAAGAAGGCCUUCGGGUUGUAAAGCCCUUUUGUUGGGAAAGAAAAGCAGCAGGUUAAUACCCCGCUGUUCUGACGGUACCCAAAGAAUAAGCACCGGCUAACUUCGUG